RNAcentral lists this non-coding RNA (30 nucleotides) under Mus musculus (house mouse). The record is from RNAcentral. Lineage: Eukaryota; Metazoa; Chordata; Mammalia; Rodentia; Muridae.
UGGGAACAUCUGUACCUGCUCUGAGGAUGU